RNAcentral lists this transfer-messenger RNA (363 nucleotides) under Escherichia coli. It matches the Rfam family "transfer-messenger RNA". From Rfam's summary of the family: Bacterial tmRNA, also known as 10Sa RNA or SsrA, is named for its dual tRNA and mRNA-like properties. The record is from RNAcentral. Lineage: Bacteria; Pseudomonadati; Pseudomonadota; Gammaproteobacteria; Enterobacterales; Enterobacteriaceae.
GGGGCUGAUUCUGGAUUCGACGGGAUUUGCGAAAUCCAAGGUGCAUGCCGAGGGGCGGUUGGCCUCGUAAAAAGCCGCAAAAAAUAGUCGCAAACGACGAAAACUACGCUUUAGCAGCUUAAUAACCUGCUUAGAGCCCUCUCUCCCUAGCCUCCGCUCUUAGGACGGGGAUCAAGAGAGGUCAAACCCAAAAGAGAUCGCGUGGAAGUCCUGCCUGGGGUUGAAGCGUUAAAACUUAAUCAGGCUAGUUUGUUAGUGGCGUGUCCGUCCGCAGCUGGCAAGCGAAUGUAAAGACUGACUAAGCAUGUAGUACCGAGGAUGUAGGAAUUUCGGACGCGGGUUCAACUCCCGCCAGCUCCACCA